GGGGCUCUCAGAGCUGGCUGUCCUUCUGAGCGGUUGUCUUCCUUCACUCCCCACCUCACCUACACUCCUGCAAACCCUCUGGAAUAAAGGAGCUCAAGAGAGAUCCCGCCUUGGUGGAAGCUCCUUAUUCUCCGGCUAUCCGGCUCUCGGAGGACCUGACCCUGUGAUAAACCAGAGUGGUCACAGGACCCCAGGGCCUCAAAUGACUACUAAUUAAAUAAAGAGGGGAAAUUUUGGAGUUGAACAAUAGGAAUUUGUUCAUAGCAUAAUAGUAUUUCUUCCAGAAAUAACAUAACAUAACAAAGUUAACAUAAACCCCAAAUGAAUAUGCCACAAACAUUGCAGGCCUUCUGAAGAAAUGCUUUCCCAAUACUGAAUGAACUUUUCAGCUUGCCCACUGGACUCGACAUUCACUAUCUUCACAAGCUUAUUUAUGCCAAGCAAUGAAGGGAAGAAACAAUUUAUUUCUGAAUUUGACUAUAGCUACAUCUCAAAGCUAUCAAGAGAAUUUAGAUUUAAGGAUGGACAUGAUUCCAUAGCUUACUUCAAAGUUUUACCAGAUUCUCUGUUGUGCUAAACUGUGACAGCUGGCCAUAUGCAGAUUUGAAACUGGACCAUUCAUAUGGCACUUGAAGAUGAAUGCGAAAAACAUUUUUAAAUACUGCUAUUGUUUUUAAAAAGUUGAAAAGAUACAGCAUUUACUGCUUAAAGUCAAAGUCAGAAAGUUACUUCUGUGCUUCAUAAAAACCAGAAUAGCACAAAUAAUUCAAUGAUAAGAGGUAAUGAUUUAAACUGUAAGAGGGUAGAUUCAGGCUAGAUAAGGAAGAAAUUUUUUAUGGGGAUGGUGGUGAAGCACUGUUCCUUAUAGAAGCUAUAGAUGACCCAUUCCUGGAAUUAUUGAAGAUCAAGUUAGAUGUUGCUCUGAGCAACCUGCUUUUUUUUUUGAUGUUGCUGCUUAUUUCAGGAUGUUGCACUAAAUGACCUUUAAAGGUUUCUUCCAAUGCAAAGCAUUCUAUGAUUCUUUGAGUCUAUGAAGUGUUAAGUUCGUGGUUCUCAGAAUAUCUACUAAUAGGCAAACACAACAUAAAGGCUGCAUAACAAAGUGACUAACUCUAAUUUCCCUUAACCUUUAUAUUUUUAAACUACUUUUUACCUUUGUACUUGCACAUUUAUUCACUGACUAUGUUGUGAUCCUUGUAAGGCUUUGAACAUUCUCCUCUACAAUACUUUUAUACCUAGAGUAGGAUAUUACAGAUGCAAUGAAAAACAAACAAACUGGAGAGCAGCUCUGCCAGAAGGGAGAUGAACAUCCUGGUGUAGAGCAAUUUGAGUGAUUCAGCUCUGUGCCCUGUAGCAUGAAAGGCCAACAGCAUCCCAGCCUGAUCUGGGAUAACAUAAUAACAUGAGCACAGGUUAAGGGAAGUGAUUAUCCUGCAGCUCUCAUUAGCCCACAUUUAGAGUACUCCUGCCUCCAGUUUUGGACAUACUGUAAAACAAACAUCGACAAACAGGAGCAAGUCAAGCAGAAGGCCACCAAGAGGGUAGCCAUAUCACCCAAAAAUCCCUUAUUAGCCAUCUUCUGGUGGGGCACUAACUGACCUCUGCAGCUCUGCUCAGUCUCACGUGGGGCUCGCACCUGUGUGACAGACUGCCACCUUCUCCCAUGGGCACAGGGUGACAUUCAAGUGCUGCUCUCCAGCCACACAUGCCCAUAUGCUGACAGGUAGAGUCAUGUCCUGGCUUGAUCUUGGACCUAGCCUCUCUUCAUAGAUUUGUAAGAUGCCCUGGAACUGGGGUUGCUGUUACUUUCCCAUCAGUGCAGCCCAUCUGCACCGUGCACCUGCCCUGCUCCCUUCCUGGAGUGCUGAGAUUGAUUGCUGUGGGAUUCCUGUCCUGAAGGAGAUGGGUUACCCUUGUCUUACCUGGGGAGAUCCUGGUCCUCUCCUGUGCUCUGGCACCUAGUCGUGAUAACAUUUUCAGUUGGCUGGUUCUCUGCACUCACAACUCAAACAUUUAGACUUAGGGACUGGAAACAAGGCAUUGUCACGUGGUGACAAAUGUGUGGAGUUCACAGCUAUCCUUGUAACUACAUAGAAAGUUCAAGCUAAAAACUCUGACAUGUCUUUCUUGAAUGGAGAAAAAUAAUAUGAGACAUGAAUACUUAAAGACAUCUAUUUGAAUAAUCCAUAGAAAAGGUGCCAAUGGAAAUCUUAGUUUAAUGUAGCAAAACCAGUCUUGCUACGUACACUCCUUUCAAGGUUAGACAUGUUGCAUUUAUAAAUUAUACAAGAAGACACUAAGAUGAAACACAGAGGAUAUGUCUUUAAAUAUACUUCUCUCAUCAUCUAGAAGUAUAAAAAAUCAGAUCAAGACAGAAUUUCCUACAGUUGAAAAAGAUUAUUUUUUAACUAAGCACAAACUAGAUAUCUAAUAUAAACUAGCCAAGAAAUUUCUGUAAUUUGAUAUUGAAAGUGAGGAAUGCUGAUAAGCUACAGACAUCAUAUUCUGUGCACUUCCAUCAGCAAUUUUAGUGCAGUUUCAACUAAAACGAUAUAAACAUAAUCCUAGAAUAUCUAUUGAGCAGGGAAAAUCCAAUGUUUUACAAGACAUGCUUCAUAAUUACAUACAAUGUAAUUGUAAAAUUGUAAAAAAAAUGUAGAGAUUAUGUCAUCAUCUAUGAAACAAAGCAAACUAUUUUGAUAAAUGUCUCAUUUAAAAUAUAUUUGGUUGACUUUUUUAUUAAAAUAAAGAAACAGAAUCAAGUCAGAGCUUGUUUUAUCCUGCUAUGGAUUCUAGAAGGCACAGCUGAUUUACUGCUGCUGAUUAGACAAGGGCAAAAAAAAGUAAAAAGCUAGCAAUCAAUUUGUUACAGCUUCACCUACAGAUAUUCAGAGAUGGAAGGCGGAUAUCUGCCUUUUUUUCAUUUGUUGCAUAUUGCUGCAAGCUGUGGAAUUCAUAGUUGCUGGCCUUUGGAUGUGCUCCCACUCUGUCAGUGACACGCUGGCUUCAAUGGGCAGGGUAUCAGCACCUCUCAGGAAAGGCUUCCUGCUGUGUUGAAUAAUAGUUGCUGUUGCAUAAACCCUUGUUUGCAAAUCCUACUUCUGGUUUCAGGGUGAUUCACUUGCCAGAGGUCCAUGGAACACUCGGUGUGUACUCACCCAUCCUCAAAACAGAGUGUUGGCCUGCCAGGCCGAAACUGUAUAAAUGUGAUAUAAUCUACUAAAUACUCAUUACAUGUGUAGUGUCACAAUGUAUUAGAUACACCAGCAAGCACCAGCUUACUUUCUAGGGCUAGGAUCUAAGCUGGCCAUGAUUUUACCAGCAGCAGAUAGCAGUCGAGCUUAUAUUGAAAUCUGAAAAAAAUAAUUGAUCUCCAUUCUCUCUCUCUCUUUCUCUUAUUUUAAAAUAUUAUUUAAAAAAUUAUUUUCCCCCAGUACACUUUUUGAGAGAAUCUAUUUGUUAAUGUAUGUAUACUUAUUCACCGACCUGACUAGCUGGUCUUUCCAGGCAAGAUGUGUGAGCUCUAUUUACAUAGUUAGAAGCAGUUUGGGAUGGACUCUUAGAGUCAAAAACUGUAUGGCAGAUGGCUCUUUGUACCCAGUUAUUAUUGCUGUGCUGAGUAAUACUUAAAAGACAAUUUUAGUUUUGAAAUAUACUCUGCUUCAAAAAGAGCAAUGCUGUGUAAAGUAUCUCAGGCGACUGAGAUCCAGGAAUAUAAAGCAGUUUCUGAUAAGCAAAAAUUCCACUUUAGAGGACUUCUAAAGAAAUCCCUUGGUCUCUCCAUAAAAGCUUCAAAGUAAAUAAUGGAAAAAUUGACAUUUUUUGCCUUGGGAGCUCUACUUUUGCCUCUUCCUAAAUUCUUCAGCUCUAUAGUUUGCAAUGACAUGGUGUCCCCCCAGAUAGUCUCUGACUAAUAGGUAUUGAAAAAAUAUUACUGGACAGGACAGUUCUAUUACAAAACAACACAGGAUUUUAACGACCUUUUUCUGACAUUAGAACAACAAUAAUACUUUGGCUUUUCCCUUGAGGUCUAACUAAAUAACAAAGCCAAAAUUAUAAAAUAUGGGGCAACUUAUACCCCACUCAGAAAAAAACUCCCAAGUAUUAAAAUGAGGAAGUGAGAAAAAUAUUGUAACAGAUUUUAAUAUUGAAAUUACCUUUGGCAUCAGAGAAAGGUAAAAAUAACAGUAGAAUAAUCCAAUUUCACAAAUCAAAUCUGCACAACUUUUUUUGUCACAUCUAGGGAAAGGUUAAGAGGAAGAGCUGCAUCUCUUUGUACACUGGCUUUAGGAAACACUCCAUCACUUUCCUAUACAGAUGUCAACUCACUUAACCAGCCAUGGUGCUGUGGAGAGAAAUUUAUAUAAACCCUUCACCCUAAAAAAACCCUUUGCCUUAAAGAAACAACACUUAAGAAAUAUAUAAUCUUAUAAACUCUGUUUCAUGUCUGUCUUCUUGGGGAUUUUAAGGUUAAUAAUGUUUACCUUUAUCUUCUGCUGCUGCUUACAAUUUAGAAAGACUUCUUUUCUUUACUGUAGUAGAUAUAAACAUAAUCUAUCUAUAAUAAUUAAAUCAUCAGCCUGUUCUGCUGUCUCAAGGUAAAGGCUGAGCUUCUAGGCCAUGGAUUAAAAAAAUCUGUUUUGAAGGGUUUUUUUGUUUUUUGCUUGCAGGAUUUUAUUUAGUUUUAUCAGUUUUCUUCACCAUGUAAUCCUACCAAAAGCUGUGUCAGCACAGCCUAGGGUAGUAGCAUAUUGCAGCAUGGGAGAAGGAAUGUACAUUGUCUGUGAGAUACAGGAAUACUUUAAAAUGAAACUUGUCCUAAGAACAGGUGCAUAAACACUUCUGGGAGCAGAAGUGAGGAAAAUGUUGAAGACUAAGGAGAGAAAUACCUCUAAGGUGGAAGGGUGGCAGAGGAAUCAAUGCUGACUUCAGGUGUUUCUGCCAUGGAGUACUCUGCCUGGUAGCUGUUGUGGAGCUGCACCAUGGAACCUGGCAUGUGUCCAGGUUCUUGCCCAGUUUCUUUGGAGGCAGUUUUGCAGGUCCUGAAUACCAAUCACUACCAACCUCUCAGAAGAAAAAAACGAACAAACAAACAAAAAACCAGGAUACCUCUAAGCUUAAUCUAAACUGUUUAAUCUAAACUGUUAAGGGGCUCUUCAGUAUCUGUGAAAUAGAUUUUGCAAUCAGAUUUUGUUAUUGCAACUUCAUUAAAUUGAUUUUUUUAACAUUUG
This 5231-nucleotide long non-coding RNA is filed under the name Taeniopygia guttata (zebra finch). Its description in RNAcentral is "lncRNA (ENSTGUG00000026991.1)". The record is from RNAcentral. Lineage: Eukaryota; Metazoa; Chordata; Aves; Passeriformes; Estrildidae.